This 459-nucleotide ribosomal RNA is filed under the name uncultured bacterium. Its description in RNAcentral is "partial 16S ribosomal RNA". It matches the Rfam family "Bacterial small subunit ribosomal RNA", at positions 338 to 795 of the family's 1533-position model. The record is from RNAcentral.
CCUACGGGAGGCAGCAGUGAGGAAUAUUGGUCAAUGGGCGCGAGCCUGAACCAGCCAAGUCGCGUGAGGGAAGACGGUCCUAUGGAUUGUAAACCUCUUUUGUCGGGGAGCAAAAGACGCCACGCGUGGCGUUCCGAGAGUACCCGAAGAAAAAGCAUCGGCUAACUCCGUGCCAGCAGCCGCGGUAAUACGGAGGAUGCGAGCGUUAUCCGGAUUUAUUGGGUUUAAAGGGUGCGCAGGCGGAAGAUCAAGGCAGCGGUAAAAGUGAGAGGCUCAACCUCUUCGAGCCGUUGAAACUGGUUUUCUUGAGUGAGUGAGAAGUAUGCGGAAUGCGUGGUGUAGCGGUGAAAUGCAUAGAUAUCACGCAGAACUCCGAUUGCGAAGGCAGCAUACCGGCGCUCAACUGACGCUCAUGCACGAAAGUGUGGGUAUCGAACAGGAUUAGAUACCCCUGUAGUC